GAAGAGGUAGCUCAUGGGUAGAGCGCUUGACUGACUAACCCUCAUGGGCCCUGGGUUCGAUUUUCAGCAUCCUCA
RNAcentral lists this transfer RNA (75 nucleotides) under Mesocricetus auratus (golden hamster). It matches the Rfam family "tRNA". From Rfam's summary of the family: Transfer RNA (tRNA) molecules are approximately 80 nucleotides in length. Their secondary structure includes four short double-helical elements and three loops (D, anti-codon, and T loops). Further hydrogen bonds mediate the characteristic L-shaped molecular structure. tRNAs have two regions of fundamental functional importance: the anti-codon, which is responsible for specific mRNA codon recognition, and the 3' end, to which the tRNAs corresponding amino acid is attached (by aminoacyl-tRNA synthetases). tRNAs cope with the degeneracy of the genetic code in two manners: having more than one tRNA (with a specific anti-codon) for a particular amino acid; and 'wobble' base-pairing, i.e. permitting non-standard base-pairing at the 3rd anti-codon position. The record is from Rfam by way of RNAcentral. Lineage: Eukaryota; Metazoa; Chordata; Mammalia; Rodentia; Cricetidae.